UGGACAGGGGGGUUCCCGCUCACGGGCGGGGCCUGUCCGACCGGCCGUGCGGAACGUGCGGCCAGUGGUUGUCGCUCGGGGGUGAACGCCG
Non-coding RNA from Streptomyces sp. HCCB10043, 91 nucleotides. The record is from Rfam. NCBI's taxonomy places the organism in Bacteria, Bacillati, Actinomycetota, Actinomycetes, Kitasatosporales, Streptomycetaceae.